RNAcentral lists this ribosomal RNA (485 nucleotides) under Parnassius staudingeri kohibaba. RNAcentral's name for it is "partial 16S ribosomal RNA". The record is from RNAcentral. Lineage: Eukaryota; Metazoa; Arthropoda; Insecta; Lepidoptera; Papilionidae.
UUUUUGAUUAAUAAUUUAAAGUCUAAUCUGCCCACUGAUAAUAUAUUAAAGGGCUGCAGUAUUUUGACUGUACAAAGGUAGCAUAAUCAUUAGUCUCUUAAUUGGUGACUUGUAUGAAAGAUUUAAUGAGAUAUAUACUGUCUCUUUUUAAUUUAUAAAAUUUAAUUUUUUAGUUAAAAAGCUAAAAUAUAUUUAAAAGACGAGAAGACCCUAUAGAGUUUAAUAUUUAAUUAAAUUAAAAUUAUUUAUAAAAUUUAAAAUUUUAAUUUAAUUAAAUAUUUUGUUGGGGUGAUAAAAAAAUUAAAAGAACUUUUUUUAUAAAUUUACAUUAAUAAAUGAAUAAAUGAUCCGUAAUUUACGAUUAAAAGAAAAAAUUACCUUAGGGAUAACAGCGUAAUUUUUUUUUUUAGUUCAAAUAAGAAAAAAAGUUUGCGACCUCGAUGUUGGAUUAAGAUAAAAUUUAAAUGCAAAAGUUUAAAAUUUUU